RNAcentral lists this long non-coding RNA (362 nucleotides) under Homo sapiens (human). RNAcentral's name for it is "HSALNT0323812". Lineage: Eukaryota; Metazoa; Chordata; Mammalia; Primates; Hominidae. The record is from RNAcentral.
CUGCCUCCCAGAAGGAUGCUGAGUAGCCAUGUCAACUCUCUCAACCAACAACAGUCAAUGUAGCUCAAAGUGCAGGGUGGAUGUGAGAUGAGACAUUUGAGAGAGAGUGAGCAAACCCUGCUGGAAUAAAGAUAACCUGGCCUCAUAUUAACAUCAAAUGUCUAGAAUUCCAAAAACAGAAGAUCACACAAACUAUGCUAACUCCGAGUGGAAUUUCAAGACAUUAAUGUAAGAGAGGGUGACCAAACCAUGCUGGAGUAAAGAUAACCUGUCCAGUAUUAUCCCAACGGACUGCUUGACAAAUCAUGAUUUGCCAAACUUAAUUCAGAGUUUUGCUCCUGUUGACCAGGCUAGAGUACAAU